This 2189-nucleotide long non-coding RNA is filed under the name Coffea arabica (coffee). Its description in RNAcentral is "long non-coding RNA (CARA_LNC002120)". Lineage: Eukaryota; Viridiplantae; Streptophyta; Magnoliopsida; Gentianales; Rubiaceae. The record is from RNAcentral.
CUCUAAAGAUCUCUGCAUGUAGUAGAAGACAAGUUGCUCCUUCAAUGAAGCUCUUUCUUCCUGGUUAGGAUCCUUGCCGGAUGAAAUGAAUGCCACAAACAUUGAAUGUGAAGCUCUAGCCACUUUUCCAUUUUGAUGUCCCAUAUAUCUAAUUCAACAUGAAUUUAGGAAUCACGCAUUCACCAAAAUCAGCGAAUGGAAGAGCAACCCAUAUUUUGGAAAUUACGACAUUUUACAUAUUAUAGGAUACAGAAACAUAGUUGGAGCCACCACCUUCCUAAAUAAAGAGGUCGGUAAAUGCUCAAUGCAAGUCGGGAUAACCCGCAAGUAAAAUAAGAUCCGAGCUGUCUGUACAUCGUCAUUGGACCAUAGAUACUCCAUUUUCUGCAAGUUGGAAAAACCUGCUAGACAAAACCAAUAUAGUCAGGAAGCCCACACACAAAUUGAUAGCUGAUAAAGAGGCAUAAAAAAAAUAUAGUAAGUACCAUGUUUACUUGUCAAAUCGCUAUAAGAUGGCAUGGAUUUUACAAAUGAGACACAAGCUGAUUCAUUCUCCUGAACACUUACUACAGCUGCUCUUAUUGUAUCCAUAUACUCAGGCAAACGCAUCCUUCGGAAAUAUUCCAUGCAAGAAAAAGAAACCAAUAUCCUAACUGAAAGCGUCAAGCGAGUAUCUUGGCUACUAUUAGGGCCUAACCUAUACUUUGUGACUGCCAGUGCAAAAAGCACAACCAUAAGGAAAGCAGAUUCAGCAAUUUUCUCCAAAUCUCCAAGGAGCCCACUCUUGACACCUUGAUAUACAAAAGCAACAUGUUGAUGCUGCAAGUAGAUCUCCUGACAGUGCUCCCAGAUAAGAUUUUCAAUACUGUUCUUGGUUUCUUCAUCAGCUGAGACAUACUGAUUGCAAAAUGCCCCAGUUAUAGCCCCUGCUUCCCUAAAACUAGUACUGGCUAGAUGCUCUUUAACCUCAUUAACCAAAAGUCCUUUGAAACUGCCAACAGACAAAUCAAGCAUCUUCUGGUACAUGCGCACCAAAGGGAAAAUCUCACCUAAUAAUGCUAAAGCAAGGCAUAAAAGAAGAGAAGCAGAAUAGGAAAUGGAGCCACUACGAGCUGCACCUAGGGAUAUACAUUGUAGGAGAACACUGUCUCUAAGUUCAGUGCCAGAAGCAUUAACACCUUCAGUUCUAGCUACAAGGUCUGUUGCCACUGUUCCAAUCAGCUCCUCCGCAGAAACUUUUAAAGGCAUAAAAUCAUUUGAUCCAGAUCUAUUGAGAACCUUCAGAACACCAGCUGCAGCCAUGACCAAGGCAAAUGAAGAAUAAGAGGGCUUCCUAUUUACCAACAUCACCCUCCUAAAAAGAUCUGCUUUGUCUGUGGAAUGCGAGUUUAUGCAAUUAGAUAGAACCCACUCAACCAUAUGCAGUAUCAUGAGCCCAUAAGGAACACUAACAGAUGGACCAUCCUGUUUCUCCCAUAUCUCAAAAAAGAAGUCUAAAAUUGAAACAAAAUAGGCAUUCACAGAAGAAGAUAAAGCAUAACCAAUUCCCCCUAAAACAUUGGGUAGAACUCCUUCCAAUACACCAAUCAUUUGAUAUUCCUGUUCCACUAGCUUGCAGAGCAACUCCAAGCAGAAUGUUUUGGAUUUUUCAGAUGCAGAAGGUACAAAAGAAAUAGCUCCCAAAAGGAGAACACCUUCAGAAAAGAAAAUUGAGCUUUUGUUGAUGUAGAAUUUCUCAGAGAAUAUGUCUGACAGAACCUCAACCGUUGAGUCAAUCAUAAUCAAAGACUGUUUGGAAGAUUUCCUGACCCAUAUAUACAGCAGCCUAAGAAAGAGAGGAUACGACUCAGGUGGAAGAGAGACAUUAGGUAAGGAUAGAAUUGAAAGUAGAAGCUUUGCCUGAGGAUCUGCAACAUAAAGGACAUUCUGAGAGCCACAGAGGAUUUUCAAAGAUUGCAGAUGAUGAGGUUCAAAAGACUGUGAUUGAAGUGAGUCCCUAAGAUCAGUCCAAGCUUGGAUGAUGGCUUGGGCAGAUAAGGAAGAAGACUUUCUGGAACUUAUAGUGUCACCAAUACCACUGUUCUGAUAUAACCAGUCCUCAAGGAAUAUGGGAUGACCUUGAUUUGCCAUCUUCUCGAGUUACCAGCAUAGAACCUCAGUGUGCAGUACUCUCAUUAAUUCUUGUAAAC